UGUUUGAAGCCUGAAAUGUGGCAAAAGGUCGCAAAGUUCAAGGGGGCCGAAUACUUUCGCAAGGCACUGUAUGUAUGAAGGAACUGUGUAUAUACAUACACACACACACACACAGUUCCUUCGGAAAGUAUUCAGAACCCUAGACUUUUCCCACAUUUUGCUACGUUACAGCCUUAUUCUAAAAUGUAUUCAGUUAUUUUUUCCCCCUCAUCAAACUACACACACUACCCCAUAAUGACCAAGCAAAAACGGUUUCUUUAAAAAAAAAAAGUUUGCUAAUUUAUUAAAAAUAUAAAACUGAAAUAUCACAAGUAUUCAGACUCAGUACUUUGUUGAAGCACCUUUUGGCAGUGAAUACAGCCUCGAGUCUUCAUGUGUAUGACUCUACAAGCAGAUCCUGCAGAUCCUCUCAAGCUCUGUCAAGUUGGAUGGGGAGCGUUACAGCACAGCUAUUUUCAGGUCUCCAGAGAUGUUCGAUCGGGUUCAUGUCUGGGCUCUGGCUGGGGGUACUCAAGGACAUUCAGAGACUUGUCCCAAAGCCACUCCUGUGUUGUCUUGGCUGUGUGCUUAAGGUUGUUGUCAUGUUGAAAGGUGACCCUUCUCCCCAGUCUGUGAUCCUGAGCACUCUGGAGCAGGUUUUCAUCAAGGAUCUCUCUCUAUUUUGCACCGUUCAUCUUUCCCUCGAUCCUGACUGGUCUCCCAGUCCAUGCUGCUGAAAAACAUCCCCACAUCAUGAUGCUGCCACCAUGCUUCACCGUAGAGAUGGUGCCAGGUUUCCUCCAGACGUGACGCUUGGCAUUCAUGCCAAAGAGUUCAAUCUUGGUUUCAUUAGUCCAGAGAAUCUUGUUUCUCAUGGUCUGAGAGUCCUUUGGUGCCUUUUGGCAAACUCCAAGCAGGCUGUCAUGUGCUUUUUACUGAGGAGUGGCUUCCAUCUGGCCACUCUACCAUAAAGGCCUAAUUGGUGGAGUGCUCCAGAGAUGGUUGUCCUUCUGGAAGGUUCUCCCAUCUCCACAGAGGAGCUCUGUCAGAGUGACCAUCAGGUUCUUGGGCACCUCCCUGACCAAGGCCCUUCUCCACCGAUUUCUCAGUUUGGCAGAGCGGCCAGCUCUAGGAAGAGUCUUGGUGGUUCCAAUCUUCUUCCAUUUAAGAAUGAUGGAGGCCACUGUGUUCUUGGGGACCUUCAAUGCUGAGAAAAAAACAUGUUGUACCCUUCUCAAGAUCGGUGACUCGACACAAUCCUGUCUCAGAGCUCUACUGACAAUUCCUUCGAUCUCAUUGCUUGUUUUUUGCUUUGACAUGCACUGUCAACUGUUGGACCUUAUAUAGACAGGUGUGUGCCUUUCCAAAUCAUGUCCAAUAACUUGAAUUUGCCAAAGGUGGACUCCAAUCAAGUUUUAGGAAUAGGAUUAAUCAAUGGAAACAAAAUGCACCUGAGAUCAAUUUCGAAUCUCAUAGCAAAGGGUCUGAAUACUUAUGUAAAUAAGGUAUUUCUGUUUUUAAUAAAUUAGCUUUGUCAUUAUUGGGUAUUGUGUAUAGAUUGAUGAGAAACAUUUCAUUUAAUCCAUUUUAGAAUAAGGCUGUAACGUAACAAAAUAUGGAAAAGGGGACAGGGCCUGAAUACUUUCCGAAUGCAUUGUAUAAGCCCCAAGUGCCCUUAAUAAUAGAUUGGAUUCAUGUAACUGUUAGAGUUGAACCCCAGUAAAAGGGAAAGCAGUUACAUUAGUGGUUGAGCUGAGAACACAUCCAUAGGAUUUCUCUGUGUCUGUCGUUUCUCUGCAUUUGGAAAAGCAGCAACGUCCCCUGUGGUGGUCGAGUUUAAAAGCCUUAAGUCUGUUAAGGGUUCAGAGCUUGAUAAGUUACAGCGGCCAGGGAAAUACCUGCAGAUUGGGGCUGGCUGGCUAACAUUCUCCCAGCGUGCCGCUUGUGCCUGGGGCCUCCAACUCAAAAGUGUGUUGCUGUGUGCCAGAAAUGAAAUGCGUGCUUGUUCUGUAACCCAUAGACACUGCAUACUUUGUACGUACACACUACGGGUGCCAUGCACCAACGAGGAGAGCGGACCAUGAAGGUGACAAGGACCAGAGACAUCCUGACCAGCGCAACAAACUAAUGAGGCAGAAUUACUUAAGAAGCUUCUGACCUAAGGGGUUUGCAUGACAACGACCAUAGGAGUUGGCUAUAAAGCACAAACAAAUCCGGGGACCUGGCUACUUAUUCUGACAGUGGGAGAGAAUAUGUGGAUCAGUGGUCCUUCUACUCCAACUAUAUCCAAGUGCUUUAUCCUUCCAAUACUCAACCGCUCGUUGACUGUAUUGAUAUCUUUCAACAUUGACCAAAGGCCCUUACCCAUACUAUAGUAUUUAGAAUUGAGAUAAAUCCAACCAUGUCAGGAUAGCCUGGUGUAUAGCUAGAUCUAGUUGUGCAUAAUGUGUUUUCCUGACACAUGUACAUGAAAGAUGAGUUGUCAAAAGUACAAGCAGAUAUUUGGCAUUGCCCAAGAUGAAGGUUAACUCUUAAAGACAUCUCAUCUGUUUGGCUGUUUGGUUAAGUACCUUAACUCCAAGAUGAUUUAAUUAAUGGAGUUGAGUGCAGACUAGAGUUAUUUAGAAAAAAAAUAUAUAUAUAUUUACGAACCUCCAACUCCUUCAAGUCGCUGUGCAGUUGAUACUUACAUUUUUUUCAAAUUCUUAAAUCCCGUACCAUGUUUGUCCUCUGUUUGCAUGCCUUUCUUUGCUGAAAUCCAUACUUUUUAAUAAAACUUAGUCAAAUACAACCACUGACUGUUUCCUUUUUGAGAUUUAAUUGACACAUGCGCAUUCAUGCUGAGUUGCCAUCUUAGAACAACAGCAAUGAAAAAACAGUCGGUUGUAUUUUGAUUAACGUGUAAUUAAAAAGUAGGCAUUUUUGCAAACAAAGGCCUGAAACAACAAAGAUAGGUACACGGUAAGGGUUUAAGAAUUUACAUUUUUGAAGAAUCGACUGCAUAGUGAGUUGGGAGGUUCAAUUAAACUAGUCUGUGCUCAACUUUGAGUUGAGGAACUUGGCUACCGUUUGGCAUGAGUCUAAAGGUUCAACAAUGGUGAAAGUGUCUUGAACAAAUGCAUUGUCCAUGACCAGCUAUAGGUAUAACACUCUGAUUUAAUGACAGGUAGUUGAGUGGUUUGCAUACUCCAGUGCUAGACCUCCAGUCCCUCCCUAUCCCUACUGACCAUAAUGAAAGAUACUCUUAAUAAGUGGCUUUCAAAAACCAGCACCUUUAUUCAUGACAGUGAGCACACAAUGUACUUUUGAAAAGAAUGCAACGUUGUGAAAUCGUGUGCUUGAUCGGUUAGAUGGAAUGGAAUGUGUAUUGUCAAGAUGAUAGAGCACUAAGCUACAUUAAAUCAAUUAAGCUCUGUAUAGCAUAAGGAAGGAGUCUGGAAUUAAGAUGGCUCCUUUUUGUCCCAAAUUUCACCCUCUCCCCAAAAUAGUGCACUAUAUAUAGGGGAUGGGGUGCAAUUUGGGACACCGGCAUUGCUUGAUGAAAAGAAGUGUACUUGACCUACAGUACCAGUCAAGUUUGGACACCUACUUAUUCAAGGAUUUUUCUUUGUAGUGAAGACAAUGUAGAAAAUAGUAAAAAAUAAUCUAUGAACUAACACAUGGCAUCAUGUAGUAACCAAAAAAGUGUUAAACAAAGAUUAUUCUGAGUAGCCAUCCUUUGCCUUGAUGACAGCUUUGCACACUCUUGGCAUUCUCUCAACUAGCUUAACAUAGAAUGCUAUUCCAACCGUCUAGAAGGAGUUCCCACAUGCUGAGCACUUGUUGGCUGCUUUUCCUUUACUCUGCAGUUGUCCUCGUCAUCCCAAACCAUCUCAAUUGGGUUGAGGUUGUGUGAUUGUGGAGGCCAGGUCAUCUAAAGCAGCACUCCAUCACUCUCCUUCUUGGUCAAAUAGCCCUUACACAGCCUGGAGGUGUGUUGGGUCAUUGUCUUGUUGAAAAACAAAUGAUAGUCCCACUAAGUGCAAACCAGAUGGGAUGGUGUUUUGCUGCAGAAUGCUGUGGCCAUACUGGUUAAGUGUGCUUUGAAUUCUAAAUAAAUCACUGACAUUGUCACCAUCACACCUCCUCUAUGCUUCAUGGUGGAAACGACAUGUGUAGAUCAUCCGUUCACCUACUCUGCGUCUCACAAAGACACGGCGGUUGGAAUCAAAAAUGUCAAAUUUUGACUCAUCAGAUCAAAGGACAGACUUCCACCGGUCUAAUGUUCCAUUGCUCAUGUUUCUUAGCCCAAGCAGGUCUUCUUACUCCUUUAGUGGUGGUUUCUUUGCAGCAAUUCGACCAUGAAGGCUUGAUUCACGCAGUCUCCGCUGAACAGUUGAUGAUUAGAUGUCUGUUGCUUGAACUCUGUGAAGCAUUUAUUUGGGCUGCAAUUUCUGAGGCUGGUAACUAAUGAACUCUAAUGAAUGGAGCCAGUUUCAUCAUAGCGCUUGAUUGUUUUUGCGACUGCACUUGAAGAACCUUUCAGUUCUUGAAAUGAUCUGGAUUUACUGACCUUCAUGUCUUAAAGUAAUGAUGGACUCAUUUCUCUUUGCUUAUUUGAGCUGUUAUUGCCAUAAUAUGGACUUGGUCAUUUACCAAAUAGGGCUAUCUUCUGUAUACCACCCCUACCAUGUCACAACACAACUGAUUGGCUCAAAUGCUUUAACAAGGUACACCUGUUUAAUUAAUUGAAAUGCGUUCCAGAUGACUACCUCAUGAAGCUGGUUGAGAAAAUUUCAAGAGUGUGCAAAGCUGGCAAAGCGUGGGUACUUUGAAGAAUCUGAAAUAUAUUUGGAUUUGUUUAACCCUUUUUUGGUUACUACAAAAACUAUUUCAUAGUUUUGAUGUCUUCACUAUUAUUGUACAAUGUAGAAAAUAAUAGUAAAAAUAAAGAAAAGCCUAUGAAUGAGUAGGUGUGUCAAAUUUUGACUGGUACCAUAUUUUUCUUACUGAUAAAUGAGGCCUUUUGAAUUUAUAUUUACUUGACUUUGAUUUUUAGGUUGCGAUUUAGAUUUUUAGCAUCUGCAAAAGAGUUCAUAAAUACCAUUGAAUUUACGGGCCUUGAAUUUACAUAUGUGACUUGUCUUUAUUUUCCACCAGAUCUCUUAACAGCAUUUUGAGCCAAACAUAUUUUCU
Molecule: long non-coding RNA, 5154 nt
Organism: Oncorhynchus tshawytscha (Chinook salmon)
Lineage: Eukaryota; Metazoa; Chordata; Actinopteri; Salmoniformes; Salmonidae
Source: Ensembl